GAUGAACGCUGGCGGCGUGCCUAAUACAUGCAAGUCGAGCGAACAGGCGAGGAGCUUGCUCCUCUGACAUUAGCGGCGGACGGGUGAGUAACACGUGGAUAACCUACCUAUAAGACUGGGAUAACUUCGGGAAACCGGAGCUAAUACCGGAUAAUAUAUUGAACCGCAUGGUUCAAUAGUGAAAGACGGUUUUGCUGUCACUUAUAGAUGGAUCCGCGCCGCAUUAGCUAGUUGGUAAGGUAACGGCUUACCAAGGCAACGAUGCGUAGCCGACCUGAGAGGGUGAUCGGCCACACUGGAACUGAGACACGGUCCAGACUCCUACGGGAGGCAGCAGUAGGGAAUCUUCCGCAAUGGGCGAAAGCCUGACGGAGCAACGCCGCGUGAGUGAUGAAGGUCUUCGGAUCGUAAAACUCUGUUAUUAGGGAAGAACAAAUGUGUAAGUAACUAUGCACGUCUUGACGGUACCUAAUCAGAAAGCCACGGCUAACUACGUG
This 497-nucleotide ribosomal RNA is filed under the name uncultured bacterium. Its description in RNAcentral is "partial 16S ribosomal RNA". It matches the Rfam family "Bacterial small subunit ribosomal RNA", at positions 28 to 507 of the family's 1533-position model. The record is from RNAcentral.